This 19-nucleotide non-coding RNA is filed under the name Sclerotinia trifoliorum. The record is from RNAcentral. Lineage: Eukaryota; Fungi; Ascomycota; Leotiomycetes; Helotiales; Sclerotiniaceae.
UCAUUCUGAUCAUCCUGCC